RNAcentral lists this long non-coding RNA (7612 nucleotides) under Nicotiana tabacum (common tobacco). RNAcentral's name for it is "long non-coding RNA (NTAB_LNC016744)". The record is from RNAcentral. Lineage: Eukaryota; Viridiplantae; Streptophyta; Magnoliopsida; Solanales; Solanaceae.
GCCAGUCUAAGCCCAUCCUCGUUUCAGCCUUCUCGCCUGGCCCAAAACCCCCAUAUCCGCCCCAGCCCAGUUCCUGCCUGGCCCAACACCCAUUUUUUAAAAUUAAAACUAGACCCGCCCCAUUUCCUAACCUAGAUCAAAAAACCUAAGAAGACCCCCCUCUGUAAAAAGAAAAAUGAUAAAUGGCGCACCCCUCCCAUCUUGAAAGAGAUCAGAUUCCCCCAUUUUUGGAAAUCCCAGCACUGUCUUCUUCCCCUCUAAUUCCAUUUCUCUGAAGAACAACCCCAGAUCCUCACUCUCAAAAGAUACACGCAUUCAAAACACCGGCCAACAUACGAAAUUGAGGCUGAUAUUAAAAGACCAUUUUUGAGAUUUUGGAAUAAAGGUUUCGAAAAAAAGAGACAGAUGAGAAUCAAAAGCAAUGUUCUUAAAAUACUCUCAUAUUAUUGUGUUUUAUUCCACACUUUUGGGUUUUAAAGAGAAGUCCAUUCAAAUCGUCGUUCGAUUUCGCUGCUUUUGCUAUCGCUGUGUUGCCAUUGUUUCUGUUGUUGGAGCUUCCCCUCAAUUUCAGAACUCUUUUCGGUCAAAUUUAAUUGUUCUUGAUGUUAGGUAGGUGGAUUCACUCCUUUUAUACUUUGCCUUAAAUUAAAUAAUAAAAUGAUGGUAUAAUAUAUAAAUUGGUCUGAGUUUGUUAAUGAGAAUGAAUGCCUAUUCUUAUUUCAUGGUCAGAUACAUCUGAAUUUUAUCACUGACAAAUGGAGUCGAAGGUUUGUGAUUGUGAAAGUGUUUGGACGAAACAUAAACUUUGAUAUUUUUAUUUGAAUGGACUAUUUGGUUUUUUUUUUGACUGAUUUUUCUAGGUUUCAGUGUGAAACUAUAUUUGAAUUAUUAGACUCCUUUUCGAGUUCAACAUUCUUGUGCCCUAUGUUGAGACACACAACCCAAACUUUAAUUUGCCUUAAUUAUUAAUUUUGUUAGGCUUGUUUUGACCGUAAAUCUCGUGUUAAACUUUAUGCAUACCAUUUGGAAUUCAUGAAUCAAGCUCUCAGUUCAUUUCAAGUGUCUGUUAUUAUAGAAGUCUUCAUUAGGCAUGUGAAUCUUUGUGAAACUAUUCUUAAUGUUUGGAUAAUUCUUGAUUCCAUUUUUGACGUAUUCUUUCAUCGUAAUUUGUGUCAUUUUGUAACAUCCUACUUGUUUACGUUCAUGCAAACUAUUGGAGACAUUAAGUUAAAAUUGGAUGUUUGUUGAACCAGAAUAUUAUUAUUUUUGAAUUUUCUCAAUCUUCACUUAUUCAUCCACAUUGACUAUCCAUAAUUUGUGUCCUUGCAAUAACCUCAAGUUAGUUCUUUUAGGAGAAUUAUGAACACCUGUAGUUUGCUUUAGGCAUGUUAAUAAUAAUCAUCAUGACUAUGGAUACGGUUCCCGCGGCAUGGUCACGAUACGUAAAUCCCAAUUCGGGAGUGUAUUUCAUGUGACCCCGACCAUAACUUCAAACAAUAAUUAAAAUAAACAUGUUGUAAAUUGCGGGUACAUUUCAUGUGACGCAAUUCGCUAUGUGUUCAAAACAAUAAGUGCGUGAUAUUGUGACUUAUUUAAAUAAACUCCGUAAAUAAUUAAAAGCGGUAUAAAGUUAAAAUGCACAAUAGGUUUAAAACAUGUAAUUAAUAAGAUAAUUAGACCAAUUAUUAAUAGUUGAGCGACCAUACUAAAACUAUGGAACCCGGAAAUGCCUAACACCUUUUCCCGAGUUAACAGAAUUCCUUAUCCGGUCUUCUGUGUUCGUGGACCAAAAAUAGAGUCAAUUUUUCUCGAUUUGGGAUUUAAAAUGAACCGGUGACUUGGGACAACAUAAAUUAUUCCAAGUGGCGACUAUUAAAUUAAAUAAAUAAUCCCAUUUCAUUUAAUGUCACUUUAAUUUAAAAAACUCUCUUAUAUCCCCCAUCGGGUAAAAAGGAGGUGUGACAGCCCGUGCAAUUCGAAAACCUUUGUUUGCAGAUGAAUGCACUACCAAGCAUACAAGAAUCUUCUAUGCAUGGAUGCUGAUCAAAGUCAAUGUAACAAAAACCCUGCCUACAGAGAUAGUUGUUAUGAAUCCUAGAGGCAGGAAAUUCUAAUAGUAGUUGGUGUAUGAGUGGAAGCCUAACUAUUGUUACAAAUGCAAAAAGAUUAGGCACAUAUGCCCUACUCAACAAGGGCCUAAAUUGCAGCAGAAUGAGCAACCAAAACGAAUAAGAUAACAAAAGAAAAAUAACAUAUGAUCGAGAUCUAAACGACCAGUGGGGGUUGAAACUACCAACAAAGUGAAUAAGCCACAAACUCCCAUAUCAUAACAACAAGAACAGGUUAGCUUAGCAGUGGUAACUCUGGAAGCUAACUUGUCACAUGAGACUAGAAGGAUUCAUGAGAUUACUGGACAUGAGGCUACAAGAAUGAGAUCAACAGGUAAAGGCAAAAGGGUGGAAACCCAGUGAUGAACUUAAAAAGUUUUCCUUUACUAUCAUCUCCUGUAAAUAUGAAUAGCCUCCAUAAAGGGUCUACGAGUACUAGUGUGAGCUCCUCUAUACCUCAUGACAGAGGUGGGGGAACUCACAAGACUCUAUGACUUGGCUAAUAUAGAAUGUCAGGAGCAUCAAUAAGUGGUACAAGCAGAAAGAGCUGAAGAACUAUCUUAAAGCUAAAAACAUAAAGCUUGCUGGUAUCAUAGAAACUCGAGUUAAGGAACAUAAUAUAAAGAAAGUAUGCUCCCAUAUUGCCCCUGACUGGGAAAGUUUGCACAAUUACACAUGUACAACUAAUGGGAGAAUAUGGCUAAUAUGGCCAUAUAUUAUAAAGUUACUCUAAUUAGAGCAGAAGCACAAGUUGUUCAUUGCCUAGUUAAUGAAAUCAUAGGAGAUCAGGAAUGUAUACUUACAAUGGUCUAUAGAUGCAACACUAUUGAGCAAAGGAAACAAUUGUGGGCUAACCUAAUUGAGAUUGGUCAGGGGGUCAACAAACCAUGGAUCCUUGGAGGAGAUUUCAACUCUGUAUUGUAGCUUCAAGACAGGAUAAAUGGAAAUCAGGUAAACCUUGAUGAGUUCAUGACUUCACAAAGUGUGUUCAAGAUUUAGGUAUUAAUGAAUUGACAUAGGAAGAGGAUUACUACAGUUAGUCUAACAAACAAGAUGAAGUGGAUAGAAUUUGGAGCAAAAUUGAUAGAAUAUUUGGCAACUAUGAAUGGAUGAUGUAGUGGGGACACAUCACUACUGUAUAUGAUAUUCCUUUCAUAUAUGAUUAUGUCUCUAUGAGCUUGAACCUCACAGUAGACCAGGGCAGCAAUAGAAUUCCUUUAAAGUUCAUUAAUAUAUGGGCUAAACAUGAAACCUUUCUAUGUAUUGUACAACAAGUUUGGAAUCAGAUAGUGUACAGGUGGACAAUGUAGGACAUGUGGGUGAAAUUGAAGAAACUCUGGACAUUACUUAGGAAACUUAAUAUUGAAGAGUUUAAAUUCAUCAGACAGAAGAUUGCUACAGCUAGGAAUGAGCUUCUCAUAGUUCAAAAGAGCAUUAAUGCUAGUUGUACUGACGAGCUGAAUGAGAAGGAGAAGAAUCUUAUCCAAAGCCUAGAAAAAUGGGAUAUGCCAAAAGAAGGAGCCUCAAGGCAAAAAUCUAGAGCUAAAUGGAUAAAAUUAGGUGACUCUAAUACAAGGUAUUCUACAGUUGUGAUAAAGGAAAGGCUCCACAUGAAGCAGAUCAAGAAACCACAUUCACUUGCAGGUUGUAGACUAACUGAUCCAGAAGCUAUAACAGUAGAGAUUGUUGAGUUUUAUAAAUCACUCAUAGGGACUGCUGCUCACUCACUACAUGCAAUAAACAAGUUGGUAAUGUAAAAGGGACCAAAUCAUUCGCAACAACAAAGAAUGGAACUUUGUAAAGAUGUAACUGAAGAAGAGAUCUAUGAAGGACUAUGCUCCAUUAAAGAAGAUAAAGAACUAGGAAUAGAUAGUUACAAUGCAUGUUUUUUCAAGAAGGCAUGAUCUGUUAUCAAAAAGGAAGUCAUAGAAGCUUUGUUAGAUUUCUUUUCUACAAGCAGAACGUACAGAGCUAUCAAUUACACUGCCAUCACAUUAGUGUCUGAGACUGCCAAGCCUAAAACUGUAAAGGAGUUUCGACCAAUUACCUGCUGCAUUCUGCUGCAAGAUCAUCUCUAAGGUUCUGGCAGCUCAACUACAAGCUGUCAUUCCCAAUGUUAUAAAUGAAGCUCAGACUGUAUUCAUCCCAGAGAGAAGAAUUGUAGACAAUAUAAUCCUAGCUCAUGAACUAGUGAAGGCCUACUGUAGAAAAUAUAUCUUACCUAGAUGCAUGAUCAAGAUAGACCUUUAGAAAGCGUAUGGUUUUGUGGAAUGGCAUAUAUAAGACAAGUCAUGGAAGAGAUGGGAUUCCCUUAGUUAUUUACCUCAUGAAUAAUGGAAUGUAUUCAAACUGUCAACUACUCCAUCAUUUUUAAUGGAGAGACAAGAGUUCCCUUUAAUGUUGCUAAAGGAUUAAGACAAGGUGAUCCAGUGUCACCUUUCUUAUUUGCGAUUAUAAUGGAGUUCUUGAGCAGAAAUCUUAAUUGUCUUAAGGAAGUCAGAGAGUUCAAAUAUCACCCUAAGUGUGAUAAGCUGGGGACAACUCACCUUUGCUUUGUUGAUGAUCUACUGCUAUUUACCAGAGGUGAUAUCAAUUCUAUAAAGGCAAUAAAACAGAAAUUUCUACAAUUCACUUAGGUAUAUGGACUGCAGGCAAACAUGAACAAAAGUGAAGUCUACUUUGAUGGAGUUCCUACAGAGCAUAAACAGCAGAUUUUGUAGCAGUUAGGAUUCACAGGUGUAGAAUCCCCCUUUAACUACCUUGGAGUUCCAUUACCUACAAAGAAACUCAGUAUACUGCAGUGGCAAUCCCUUAUAGACAAAAUGAUUGCAAGGAUCACUUCUUGAACUGCAAAGACACUAUCCUAUGCCAGGAGGGUACAAUUAUUACAGAGUGUAUUAUUUGGAAUUCAGGCUUUCUGGGCUCAGCUGUUUGUGAUACCUACCAAGGUGGUUAAGUUAAUUGAAAUAAUGUGUAGAUCAUAUAUCUGGUCAGGUGGUAAUGUAAUCAUAAAAAAAGCUUCGGUUGCAUGGGAUAGAUUGUGUUUGCCCAAGGCUGGAGGUGGACUCAAUAUCACCAACCUAAGGAUUUGGAAUCGUGCAACAAUAGCCAAAACUUGCUAGGAUUUGGCACAUAAGCAGGAUAAACUGUGGAUUCGAUGGAUUCACACAUACUAUAUUAAGGGUCAGAUGUUCACCAUUUGGACAACACCACAUCAAGCUUGUUGGAUGGUCAGGAAAGUGUUUGAGGCCAAGGAAGUUCUAGAGAAUCAACAGUAUAUGCAGUCACACAAGAAAAGUUUAAUCAGGCAAAUAUACUUGACUCUCCUUGGUGAUUAUAGUCCAAUGGAAUGGAAAAGCUUAUUGUUUAGCAAUGCAGCACGACCAAAAGCUAAAUUCUCAAUGUGGCUCAUGAUGCAUGAAAAGCUAUUAACUUCUGAAAGAUUGUGUAAAAUGGGGACUCAAUGUGGAUACACAAUGUGUACUUUGUCAAAGGCGGGAGGAAAAUAGAGAACACUUAUUUAUGCAGCGCGAGUACACUAAAAGUGUUUGGAACAAACUACUUCAAUGGAUGCAACAUCAAUGCCCUAGAACCAGAGAUUGGCAGCAACAUAACCAGUGGAUUAUCACAUGUUCUAAAGGCAAAUCUCAGCAGGCACAAGUGUUGAAGAUGGUAUUUGCACAAGCUGUGUAUCAGAUUUGGAUUGAAAGGAACCUUAGAGUUUUUGAACAAAGAAGCAGACAAUUAGGAAUUAUUGCGAAGGAGGUUGCUUAUAUAUGCAGCGCACGAGUGCUACCUGGAUCACGAACCUAUCUGCAUAGUCUCCAGUUUGAAUAGGUUGUUUUGUAUUUCUGGCAUUUCUUUAGUAGAUAGUUUUUAGAACUUAAUUGGGAAUGACUGUGUAGUAUGUUGUAGUCUCCUAAUGAGAUAGCUAGUUGUGUGACCUUAGCUAUGAGAAUGUAAAUAUUUCUUUGGUGAUUAAUAAAAUUAAAUUGUUACCAAAAGAAAAGAUGUAUAAUGAAAAAAAUAGAAGAAAAGCCGAGCUAAAAACUUAGUAUCAUAUGUGGCAAUUGUCUCAAACUGAGGCACCAAAGGUCAAAUUUGACCAUGGAUGCCUUCUGCCCUGUAUAGCAAAACAUGGGAAAUUUUACGCCGGAAAUCUACUUUUAUUUGCAAGCAAGAUGGGUUCACGUGUCCCAAGAUUUUUAAUGUGGAAAUGCCCCGGCAACAUAUAAUAUAAAUUGGACCGAACACAAUAACUUUUAUUUAAAUUUUAUAUCUGUUUAAGUUAUUAAUUUAGAAUUCAUAAUUUAAAAAGACAAAAAUCAUCCACCCAUAAACUUUAAAUUAUCUAGCAGCUCAAGUUGCUAUAAUUGUGACUUAGGCCGUGGGCAACGAACGAUCAAAAAGAUCUUCACAAUUUCAUCAAAGUGCUCUUUUAUUCAGUGGUGUACCCAAAAUUCGUGCGCGAGAAAUGUUUGACAUAUGCUUGCAAAUCGAUUUGCAUUAUACUUUGUAUUAUUUUCUAAUAAAAUUGUCUAAUUUUACAUAAUUUAAAGUUUACAUUUAUAAAUUUAAAAAAUUGAGAAGCACUAUCCAUUAACACCCCUUACUGAAAGGUGUUCCCCAAUAGCUGACAUUCUUUAGCAGAGUAGGGAAUACUCCCGUUUUGUUUGUAGAAGUUGCACAACCAAAGAUAUCACAGCUUACCAAUCCAAUUAUGAUGGAUAUUCAAAAUAAUUUUGAAAUUUUACACUACAUGCUGAUUUUUAAUACACAUUUUUGUGUUAGUACAAAUUAGUAUGUAUUACAAUAUAUGCAUAGCUUAUCUCUGAAUCAAAAACGACCGUUAAAUGCACCUGAAAUUGAGGCGGAUCCAAAGCAUUACAUCCGAAUUUACCAGUUGUUAUUGUAUAGUACAAAUUUAAAAUGAUUAUAAAAACUCAUAAAUUUUAAAUUCUAAAUCUGACUCUAUCCUGAAAUACCCUCCUUUGUUUAUACCCAGCGAGGCAGCGGUAGCUGCUUAUUGCCACUUCGAUAAAUAAAUUUUGUAAUCUAAAAAGCAGAAAAACAAAAUAUAAUUCAGCUUUUGGUUGAGGAAAUUUGGGGAAGUUUCUUGAAAUGAAAGUUUACGUCUCAAGCAAGAUUUGCUUGUUCCUUUCUACUUGUAAUCUAAAUACCUUUUCCCUUUCUAUUUAUUUUUCCUUCUCAUUUUUUACUUUUUGGUUUUAGUUUUGUUUUUGCUAAAUUGCUUGAUUCGGUGAUGUUAACAGCCGCGAGAAGUAACACGUGACCAUGGAGAGUGGGAAGUGGUCAAAGUUGAUGCUACCUCAAGAACCACGAGUAAUGCACAAUUUACAAACCGCCUACUGUAGGUCUUACAUAUACAUACACAAAUUAUACGACAUUGACGUGUUUAUAAGUUGGUGACCACAAGCUACUAGAAAAAUUAGCAAAAUUUGCCACGUGCUUAUUUAGCCCUUUUUUUUGUUGCAAAAGUUUCA